UACGAAGGGGGCUAGCGUUGCUCGGAAUCACUGGGCGUAAAGCGCACGUAGGCGGCUUUUUAAGUCAGAGGUGAAAUCCUGGAGCUCAACUCCAGAACUGCCUUUGAUACUGAGAAGCUUGAGUCCGGGAGAGGUGAGUGGAACUGCGAGUGUAGAGGUGAAAUUCGUAGAUAUUCGCAAGAACACCAGUGGCGAAGGCGGCUCACUGGCCCGGUACUGACGCUGAGGAGCGAAAGCGUGGGGAGCGAACAGG
RNAcentral lists this ribosomal RNA (253 nucleotides) under uncultured bacterium. Its description in RNAcentral is "partial 16S ribosomal RNA". It matches the Rfam family "Bacterial small subunit ribosomal RNA", at positions 524 to 776 of the family's 1533-position model. The record is from RNAcentral.